UGCAGUGAGCCGACAUCGUGCCACUGGACUCCAGCCUGGGCGACAGAGCGAGACUCCCUCUAAAAAAAAAAAAAAAAAAAAAAAAAUGGUUGUUGUUGGCUUAAUGGACUUAGAGGUAUAGGCAGUGGAAUUGUAACCAUGUUACUUAAUUAUGACUGUAUCAAUUUUUGAAACCUAUCAGAGGUUUGGGUCCUGAAUUUUCUAUUCCCAUGAAUAUACUGUCCAUGGCUAAGAAAAGUGGUGAUAAAGAGUUUAAGUAAAAAAACAAAAUAAAGCAAAAAUUAUCUGAAAUAUUCAACUGAGGACGUGUGAAUGAUGUCUGUAGAAGAACUAUUUUUAAAUUCCAGAGGGCAGAUGGCAACUGACUCAUGCAAUUGUUUAAUUCCAAUUAAGCAUUCUCUUUUUUAAUAGUCUCCUUCUGAGGUAAAACUCUGUGGCUGCUGGAUUUGAAGCAAGUCCACACCAAUCAAUAUCAAUCUGCUGCCAAAUUUUAUUAAAUAUCUCUCUGAUACCUAUUUACAACCAAGAAAAUAAUUUCACUGCCAAGGGAUUGUAAACGUGUGAAAAGAACCUCUGACAGCUUACCUCACUCACUGUCUGCAGUUCCGAGCCUGGGUGCUAUGGCCGGGAGACUAAGAUGAAGGACAUAAUUAAGGAAACAUAUGAAGGCUAGCACUGCGCUUGAGAUUAAUUAGCUGUGCGUCAAUAAUCUCAUCAAUAUCCGAUUAACAAAUGACACAUUGCCCAAUGAAACAUAUUGAUUCAUGCACACUCCUCCCUGUUAAUAAAUUGAAGCUGCUUUGCUAAAUGAGAAAGCUGACAAAAUAACAGGCUGCUAAGACUGCCCUGCUAUUGUCAUAAAAAACAUAAAAUUAGCCUGAAGUAUAUAGUACUUAAUUUAGGAGGACUGUCAUUCCACUUAUGAAGCUUGUGAAGGAAUGACUAGAAAAGGGAACAGAAUUUCUUGGAGAACCUGCUCCAAAGGACUAGGGGAAUUUCCCAAGGGCAUGCAUUUGAAAUCAGUAUUAUGCAUAUAGAUGACCCUAAGCUCCCAUGCUUUUCUUAGUGGUGUGCAUGAAAAAAGUUUUGUUUUGCUGUUUUUUCUUUUUAAAGGAUAUCAUUCAAAUUAUGAGAGUUGUUUCAAAUUUUGGAAGUAAUGAUUCAAUAUUCUUCUAUAUGAGAUUAUGCUGAUCAUAUCAAGUAAUACUGUCUUUGGUCUUUAAGAUUAUGUAAUGAGGAAUGUCUCGUAGUGGUGGUGGUGGUGUUGGUGGUGUGUGUGUGUGUGGGUUUGCGUGUGCAUUUCUUGCACAAGCUCUUAGGCAAAUAACUACUUUGUCCCCCACAUGGUGUCCACAUCAGUGGCCCCUGUAUAAAAUGCAUACCAAUGUUUCUCCUCCCUUCUUAUCUGUGUACACUUGCUCCUCUUUGGCCCUAUUUUCUGACGUAAGUUGUUUCAAACCAGGCAGGACGGUCAUGCUGUUAUGAAGGCUAGCGCAAUUAUAAUUUAGUUUUAUCUUUAGCUUGUGACAGAGAGGUGGUAAUAAGGUUGGUCAGGAGGGGAACACUGUGAUAAUGGUGAAGAUGAGGGCUCAAUAUACAUUGAGAACCUGCUGAGAUGGUAGUCAGGAAGAGCCAGAUACCCUGCAGGUGGCCAGAAGAGAAGGCUCUGCUAAUGAAGGGCUGCCUCCCCCUCCACAGCUAGGGAACCCCAGCUUUGGCCCUUGGGACUCCCAUGGAACGUUCUCCAGGAGCUCUGGUGUAGGAGGAUCCCCUCUGAGGAGGAGCUGGUUAAGAGGAUGCAAACAUGUGCUUGCAGAAAACGUUUUCUCACAGUGCACAGUUCCAAGAAAACGCAGCAAGGAGAGGGAUUAGGAGCAUUAACUUUUUUUUUUUUUUUUUUUUUUUUUGAGAUAGAGUCUUUCUCUGUCGCCCAGACUGGAGUGCAGUG
This 1948-nucleotide long non-coding RNA is filed under the name Homo sapiens (human). RNAcentral describes it as "non-protein coding lnc-TFAP2A-10:1". The record is from RNAcentral. Lineage: Eukaryota; Metazoa; Chordata; Mammalia; Primates; Hominidae.